This 214-nucleotide unclassified non-coding RNA is filed under the name Hevea brasiliensis (rubber tree). The record is from RNAcentral. Lineage: Eukaryota; Viridiplantae; Streptophyta; Magnoliopsida; Malpighiales; Euphorbiaceae.
GAAUAUAUUCAAAUUAAUGAGGUGCUGGUUAAAGCUUUAUCUUAAGUGGUUUUGUGCCACAGUUAUGGGGAACCCCAAUGGCAAAGCACCUUAACACAGGCAUUUUUUUAUGGGAAUCUGUUCAUGGUAUUUUUGGUUAUUCCAUGGACAUUGAAUGAAAGGCCAAAUAUAUAAAUUAGUCCCUAAACUAAUUGAUAAAAUAAUAUUGCACCCG